AGUGAACGCUGGCGGUAGGCCUAACACAUGCAAGUCGAACGGCAGCACAGGUGAGCUUGCUCCCUGGGUGGCGAGUGGCGGACGGGUGAGGAAUACAUCGGAAUCUACUCUGUCGUGGGGGAUAACGUAGGGAAACGUACGCUAAUACCGCAUACGACCUCCGGGUGAAAGCAGGGGACCUUCGGGCCUUGCGCGAUUGAACGAGCCGAUGUCGGAUGAGCGAGUUGGCGGGGUAAUGGCCCACCACGGCGACGAUCCACAGCUGGUCUGAGGGGAUGUUCAGCCACAAUGGAACGGAGACACGGUCCAGACUCCUACGAGAGGGAGCAGUGGGGAAGAUUGGACAAUGGGCGCAAGCCUGAACCAGCCAUGCCGCGUGUAUGAAGAAGGCCUUCGGGUUGUAAAGUACUUUCAGCGGGGAGGAAGGCGAUGUGGUUAAUAACCGCAUUGAUUGACGUUACCCGCAGAAGAAGCACCGGCUAACUCCGUGCCAGCAGCCGCCGUAA
This 506-nucleotide ribosomal RNA is filed under the name uncultured bacterium. RNAcentral's name for it is "partial 16S ribosomal RNA". It matches the Rfam family "Bacterial small subunit ribosomal RNA", at positions 29 to 523 of the family's 1533-position model. The record is from RNAcentral.